This 253-nucleotide ribosomal RNA is filed under the name uncultured prokaryote. Its description in RNAcentral is "partial 16S ribosomal RNA". It matches the Rfam family "Bacterial small subunit ribosomal RNA", at positions 525 to 777 of the family's 1533-position model. The record is from RNAcentral.
GCGGAGGGUGCGAGCGUUGUCCGGAAUCACUGGGCGUAAAGGGCGCGUAGGCGGCCUGAUAAGUAGGGGGUGAAAUCCUGCGGCUUAACCGCAGGGCUGCCUUCUAAACUGUCAGGCUCGAGCACAGUAGAGGCAGGUGGAAUUCCCGGUGUAGCGGUGGAAUGCGUAGAGAUCGGGAAGAAUACCAGUGGCGAAGGCGUUCUGCUGGGCCGUUGCUGACACUGAGGCGCGACAGCGUGGGGAGCAAACAGGA